Tympanuchus pallidicinctus (lesser prairie-chicken) is the source of this 6580-nucleotide long non-coding RNA. RefSeq lists it as uncharacterized. NCBI's taxonomy places the organism in Eukaryota, Metazoa, Chordata, Aves, Galliformes, Phasianidae. The transcript is spliced from 3 exons. The record is from RefSeq and is a predicted model, not a curated record.
CUGAGGGUUUGGCAGCAGGUUUGCCAGCUCUUGACUUCAUCCACAGCGGGGCUGGGCCCUGUGGGAUUGCUGGCUUCUCAUCUGUCCUUGCAGGUGGAGCUAUCUUGUGGGUGGGUGGCAGGGUGCAAACUGCUCCAGAGGGUUUGUGAAGCAGAGGGUUGAAACAGAACUGGGGGCUCUGCAUGCCAAACUGCUCCAGGCUGGCUUUCCAUCAGGAGACAUGGAUAUAGCGAGAGCUGGGCACUAGGAUGUGCAAUGGGCUGUCCUCUCUCUUUUUGGAAGUCCCACUUGAUUCACACCGGGAUCCACAAACAAGAAGCCCGACAGAGUUUCACCACGAUUUGGGCAUUCCUGGGACUGUCUGUGGCAAUAGCAGAUCUGGACAAAGGUGAAGCAUUUGGCUUUUUGGGGUAGGACGUCCGUCGCAUCGCUGGGAUGGGACCUGACUGGUGUUAGCAUCAGGAGGAGAAAGCAGGCAGAAGCAAACCCUUUUCUGCAAAUAUGUGGAAGUUUCCUCAAACUGAAGCUGAAGCCAAACUCUUCCUGGGCGCCCAGAGAAAGGACAAGAAGCAAUGAGAAAAAAUUGAAGCUUGAAACAUGACAAUUAAGCAUAAGAAAACACUUCUUCUCUUUUAGGGUAGUCCAACAUCAUCAGGCUGCCCAGAGAGGGUGUGGAGCCUCCAUGCUCAGAGACAUUGGUGUACUCAACUGGGAUGAAGUCCUGCUGUAGAGAGGGACCUCCAGCCUCAGUCUGUAUCUGCUAAGAGUUGCUUGUAGAAAACAGAAAAACCAAGUUCUUGGAGCCUUGUUUGUUGCUGUGGAAGCAUUUAAAGGGAAAAUAACAUCCGCUUCUCCCGUAGGCUGCAGCACUCUGUACAGCUUUGCUUUCCCAUGGCAGUCGCCAAGCUUCUAGUUGUACCUGGGGGGACGUACAUGGUGGGCAAGGCAAGAACCAGCCCAAGGAGAAGGCUCCUACUCAGCCUCCUUUGGAAGGCCAAAAUCUGGGCACAGAUUUUCAUUGGAGCUCUUGAGGAGUCUUCUUAACCUUGAAGAUGCUUUCCAGGUCUGAUGAGGGGCAAAGAUGACGACAGAAAGUCAGGUGGACGACAGGGAUGGAGAUCCACGGGAAUCAAAUGUAAUGUGCAAGGAGGAACACCAGUAGAGACUGCACAGUGUGAAGGCACCGGGAGGCUGCACGUGCUUUGCCUGCACCUCCUUUUAAACAGGAGGGGUUGGGUGCCUUCCUUCUGCUUGCUUUGCAGUGGGGCUGUGUGAGGAACAGGGAAAUCUCUUCCUACUUCCAAGAGAGAUGCCUUCAAAUACACAGGUGCAGCUGCACAGGGAUGGCUUUGCUGCAGGAAGCAGAGCACAGCAUGUCCUCCCGCUUAGUGCUUGUGGGCGCCGUGCUUUAGCAGGCCAAAGUCACUUGACAUUGCUCCAGUGGGUGUCUGAAGCUAAUGAAUCCAGAUUAGGCAGUGCGGAGGCUGGGGAGCUCGAUUUCUGCUGAAUAUGCAUAAAGACAAAUAUGAAUUCUAAAAUUGUGAGGAAGUAUUUCUACCCUGGCUCAGCGCUAAUGUUGAUAAAAAGAGUCACAAAUUAGUACAGGAAUAGGAAGAAAAAUUGGGCUUUGUCUUUUUUGUUUGUUUGUUUGUUUUUUAACUGCUAAAACCGGGCAUCUGUUUUUUACUAGGAGUUAAUUUCUUACAUGCAAUAGUGAAGCAUGGAGUAAACUAUCAACAUGUGCCCUUCCCUGGCAGAAUAACUCCCACCUCAAUUAAGAAAAUAGGAAGAGGAACUGAAGUUAAAUUUAAAAAAAAAAUAAAAAAAAAUCCUUUGUAUUGAAGAAAAAUGAAGGUGAUUAAAUCAGGAAUUUGGCACUGCAGGGAGAAUGCCAGCAUCAGAUUAACCCUUCUGUCUGGUUUUCCAGCACCUGAGUGCCUGCAGAGGUAAUGAGGAUUCAACUAGCUCUACUCUACAGAUGGGAGAACUGCAGUACAGAAAGCAGCAAUUUCACUGAGCGUUACAGAGCAAAGCAGAAGUCACCCUGCUGAUUCAGAUGGCUUGUGAGCCAAUUCCCAGCUGAAAUACAGCCCACACAGUGCUGCUUGGAGCAGCUCAUGGUUGAAGUGCCAAGGAGGAGCAUCCUCUCUGGGUACUGAUGGAUGCACGACCACAGGCAGGUGAGGGCACUUGCUGAAAGGAGCCUAGUGGCUUUAUGAAUUGAUAUCUGGGCAGUGAAUAAUAGCUGGUACAUGAUAUUAGAUGUUGAAAGCAGCUGACUGAGCAGUGAGAAGAUGAGCCCUUGGGAGAUUUAGCAGCUACAGCCCAGAGCUGCUGGGGCAGAGCUGACUUAAUGUAUGAGACCAGAAGGAAAAUCCUUUCACAGUGCAAUGCUGUUGAAAAAGUGCAUACAAAAAGUGCAUACUAAAGAAAACAAAAAGAAAGAUGUGUUUUUUGUUUUUCAGAGAUUCAUUUUUAAGAAUAAAAUGUUACUUAACUGUCUAGCUUCUGACUGCAAGUACUUUUACUUUAGUCUUCAGAUGCUUGGAAACCCUAUCCCACACCUAAGCUGCAUACCAUCAUAGACUCAUAGAUUCACUGAUGUUGGAAAGGCCAGUAUAAUCAUCUGGUCCAACUGCCAACCUAUCUCUACCGUGCCCGCUCAUGUCCCUCAGUGCCGUAUCUACAUCCAUCUUGAACACCUUCAGGGAUGGCGACUUCACCACUUCUCUGGGCAGACUGCUCCAAUAUCUCACCAUCCUUUGAUAAGAAAUUCUUCCUAAUGUCCAAACGGAAUCUCCUCUGGCAUAACUUGAGGCCAUUCCCUCUCAUCCUAUUGAUGAUUACAUAGGAGAAGAGGCUGAACCCCACCUUACCACAAACCUCCCUUCAGGGAGCUUUAGGCAGCAAUGAGGUCUCCGUUGAGCCUCCUCAGCCGCUCCUCAUAAGGCCUGUGCCAGAGCCCUCAUCAGCUUCUUUGCCCUUCUCUGAACCCGCUCCAGAGCCUCAGUGUCUCUCUUGUAGUGAGGGACCCAAACCUGAACACAGCACUCGAGAUGUGGCCCCACCAGAGCUGAGUACAGAGGGUGAUACCUCCCUGCUCCUGCUGGCUGCACUGUUUAUGAUACAAGCCAGGCUGCCAUUGGCCUUCUCAGCCCCGGAAGGCCUCUCUAAUUUUCCCUCUGGAUGACGUCUUUGUGUUUCUCACAACUUGCCUAAGCCUUCUUCCAAAGGUCACAAACUCUCUUUUUCCUGGAGUCUCAGUAAAAGUUCCCUGUUCAUCCACACUACUCAUCUUCCCUACCAGCUCAUCUUAUGGCACAGGGGCACAGCCUGCUGCUAUGCCUCUAAGACUUCCUUUUUGAGAGGUGUCCAGCCUUCCUGGACCCCUUUGCCCUUCAGGACUGAACACCAAGGGACCCUCCCUGCCAGGGUCCUGAACAAUUCAAAGUCUGCCCUCCAGAAGCCCAAGGCAGCAUUUUUUUUGCUGACCCCUCUCCUGACCUCACCAAGAAUUGGGAACUCUACCAUUUUGUGGUCACUUUGCCCAAGAAAGCUUCCAACCUCCACAUCUCUCAGCAGUCCUUCUCUGUUCCUCCGCUCUAGCAGAGCACCUCCCCUGGUGGGCUCUCUUACCAGCUGCCUCAGAAAGUUAUCUGCCACACACUCUAGAAACCUCCUAGAUUACUUCCUCUCUGCUGCAUUGUAUUUCCAGCAAACAUCAGGUAAGCUGAAGUCCCCCAUGACUACAAGCUGGCCAUCACAUGAUAUCUGUCAACUGAUUCUGGAAGGCUUCAUUUAUCUCUCCAUCCUGGAAGACAGAUGAUAUAAACUUCCCAUCAUGGUUGGGAAGUUUGUAACAGACUCCCAGCAGAAUGUAAGACUUGCUGGCCUUUCCCUUCAUCCUUACCCUAAGGACUCAACAUUACCAUUCCCAGCACUGAGCUCUACAACACAGAAACACUCCCUAACAUAGAGAGCCACGCCACUGCCCCUCCUUCCUUGCCUAUCCAUUCUAAAGAGCUUACAGCCCUCCAUUGCAGCAAUGCAGUCAUGAGAGCAGUCCUACCAUGUUUCACUGAUAGCAUUUAACUCACAGUUUUCUUGGCACACAGUGGCUUCCAGCUCUUUCUGCUUGUUGCCCAUACUGAAUGCAUUGGUGUAGAUGCAAUUCAGCUGGGCUGUCGGUCUCACACCAUCCCUGACAUUCUUGCCCCAGGCUCAAUUUUAAAGUCCCUCUUGAUAGCCUGCCGUCUUCUCCCCAUGACCUCAUUGCUGCAAGCCCAAACUAGCAGAAGUGGGCAGUAAUUAGACGGCCACACCAGACCAGGGAGCUUCUGUGUGAUGUUCCUGACCCAGGCCCCAGAGAGGCAGCAGACUGCCCUGUGGGUAGGAACUUGUCAGUACAUCGAGCCCUCAGUUUCCCUUAGAAGGACUCAGCUAUGACAAUCACGUUUCCUUUGUUCCUGACAGAGACAGUCUUGAGGCAUGGGAGGGGCUGACUCGCCCUAGACAGCCUUCUGCAUGGACUUUCUUCAGCAUCCUCACUUACCUGUCCUUCAAGUCCCAGAACCUCAUAUUUAUUGUGCAAGGGCAGGGAAGGUGAGGUAGGCUGGGAGGGGUUCACCCAAAGCAGGAACCUGCCUCCACUCCUCCCUGCAGCUAGAGCCUUCAGACCCCUCACAGUGCUUUGGGUACUGGACUCUGCAUUACUCGAUUUAGGUUCCCUUUGUCGUCUUUCCCUGCAGGCAUCUUCUGCAGAACCUUCUUCCCUUUCCUCUGACUUUGGCUACUCCCUUGGCACACAUUGUGGCUGUCUUACCACUGGAAGCAGUGCCCGUUGCAGGGCUACAUCAAGCCUGGAAAGAGUCUUAGUUAGGCAUUUAACAAUGCUGUUACCCCCUGUUUUGUCCUAACUCUUGGUGAUGGUCUGUGUUUCUAAAAUGUGACACAAAGACCCAGGUGGAAAGGAGCAUGAGGGGCCUGAGCUAGUGGUCGCAUCAGCAUCACAGGAGAGCGGAGCAAAGGUGGCCUGAACCCAGGAUGUAAGUGUGGGCAUCAAGUAGAAAGGCUGCUGGAGGAGAGAGUCCUACAGCAGGACAAUAACCAGGAAGAUGCACACAUCUGCAUAUUGGAAAACCCUGUCCAAUUUUGAUGGUACAACAUGAAGAAGGAAGCAACCUGCUUUUAUCACAGUGUAUUCUUGUUCUCAAACACUUGGGACUCUUUGGAGCUGAUCUGAAUGCUGCUCAUUUCUGGAUGUGUGCUGAGCUUUGAUCUCAGCAAAGCCGUGUGUGUGAAUACCAGAUAACAUCACCAAAACACCAGAGCCUGCACCGCCAUGCCGGAGCAUCCUUAUCCCAGACAGGUGCUUCUGAUCCACCUCGUUUGUUUUUUGUCUGCGGAAAAGGAAACCAGACGUGGCAUGCACUGUGCAGGAGAUUGAAAGUGAUGCCCACGGUUCUCUGCAGAGCAGAGGGCUCUUCCUCUGCAUUAGUCCCCAGGCAGCAGGUGGCUGCGGGGAGGACGCAGGCGAGGGAAGGGACCUGUCUCGGCAGGAUCGCCACUUUCCACUCUCUUCUUGGCCGCCCUGCAUUUUGGAGCAGCUGACUCAAGAGGGCAGCAAGCCGACGGGCUGCCACCGGCUCCAGCGGCCAGCCCUGCCCCGCGGGACCCACCGACGGCCUCCACGUCCGGGAGGGCUGCGCGUCGGAGGAAUUCGCCGAGAUGACGAAAGCGGGAGGAGCCGGGGGUUCUGUGCUGCCCUCUCCCCACGCCCCUGGGCUCCUAGCUGAGGAGGCAAGGGUUCUUUAAUGCUGCCGGGUGAAAUCUGGUCUCACCUCCGCAGAUGACACCAGCCUGGAGCCUGUCCCGUCCUGAAACUUACGUGGUUGUGUUUGACCACGAAACGGAGGUGAGAUCUCUCCCUCCUGCUGUCACCGUGGUUACAGCUGCCUUCCUCGCGCCUCCAGAGGGGAGCCGAGCAAGUUUCUGGGCACUGAGAACACGAAGGACGUGCAGCACAAAAGGGCUUCAGACCCUGAUGAGCCUUCCUUGCACAGCACUUUGCUGUUCUUCAUACGGAUUGAAGGCGCUUUGUGAAACAAACGGAAAGGUCAGCUAUUUUCACCACGGCUUGCAUAAGAAUCUCAACAUCCUUUGCUGUAAGAGCUGCGCUGGUAACUUCCUACUGCAGCACUGAAUCACAACGGCUUCCCACGGCAACCAGCAGUAAAAAUAAACCGAGCAAGGGGAAGUGGCUGGCUUCAGCCGUUCUGCUGUCUGGGGCACACGCUUGAGUCACGGAACAGCAACGCCAAAGACAUUUAUUUUGCCGAUAGCGAUGAAAUCCGCAAACGGCUCCGAGCGCGGCCCGCCGAACCCACGCAGCCCUUGCAGCGGGACGCUCAGCCCGCUUGAAAAUAACCACGCGCUCGAACGCCGCGUCGACUCUUCGUUUCCAGCAGGGGCUGGGCUUAAAAAUUAGCCUAAAAGGAGACGGGCGCCACGAGCACCGCCCGCUUCGAGGCCCCUUCCCCAAAUGGGCGCGGAGCUCCGCCAGCACCGCUUUUGUUACCGA